ACGACGAAAAAGUACUUGCUUUGUAUCGAUACCAGUAUCGCCGCUGAUUAUCGAUAUGUAUGCCUCAAAAGUGGACAGUGCCGAUUUAUUUAUUUUAUUUCACGAAUAGCUGUCGUUAUUUGUGGAGCAUAAGUGUCGUCAGAAAAUGUUUUCCAAAAGUAUCCACAAAACCCACGAGUACCCACAAAACAUAAUUGUGGCUAAACGUGUUUUUUUUUUUUUAGUUGAUUCUCUUCUACACACGUACACCAUUUACCGAUUCUAACUGAAAGCAGCAUGUGCAAAUUAUCUAAGAAGUGGAAGAAAUUCAUAGAUUACUGCAAUGUAGCAACAGGUUGCAAUAUGGCGUACUUCAAUGCUAGCGUCUGCACGUGGAAACGCUCAAAUGACCAAUAACUUAUCGGAGCGAAUGCAUGUACAUAUGCGCAGAUGUGUGAAUGCCAUACGCACACAUACACCCACACACGCCUGUGGAUAUAUGUUUAUGUACAUUAAGUACAGUUCUUUUAUUUUCUAGGAAUUUGUUUCCAAUUUCUCAGCUAGAGUGCCACUAGCUGAAAUUUCAACGCAAGAACUGUUUGAAGUUGGAUUUGAAAUGCGAGCUCGAGCAUAAACAAGAUUCCCAGCUUUUUUGUUUGGAUAAAACGAAGCUGGGAAACAGCGACGCGGCAACCAACAUUGAUGGCAAAAUAGUCCAAUCAGCAAAAAAAGAGAAAGACUGCUGGCAUACGUGACAAUUAAAUAACUCUAAAUGGCGGCGGUCUCCCGGUGUCAUUGCCGGUUCACGCCAUAUAUUCGCUUAUUGCAGAGAACUAAAAUAGCACUGUGCUCUUUGCUCUCUCGUUUUGUUAAACUGGGGGUGAAAGUGCGCAGGGACCUACCAAAAAAGAAACGGAAGAAGUGUUGGCAAAAAUGCUACUAUUGCAAACCAACGUGUGUUCUAUGUUAUGAAAUUCCAAAUAGCUGAACUUGAAAUGACAAGCGCCACACUAUCAUGAGUUGAUAAGACCAAUGCGUAAAUUCUGAAUGUACAAUCAAGAAAUUUUGCAUAAUCAGCUGAUAGAUAGCUAUAAAUUGCACGAACUACACGACAAGACACGUAGGAGUGAUACAAUAAUAUGGCCAAAGAUAUCUAUAUCUAUAUAUAUAUAUAGAUAUGAGAAUCUCUAUGCGUAACAGUGGAGAAUGUUCUCUAAAUGCAAUUUUUAAAUUGUUCGAUUACAUAAGAAACAACGAGUAUAUAUCAUAAACAAACACCUGAAAACUUAGCAGUUUGGCAACGUUGCCACCGCAAUGCAACCGUUUCUAACCACUCUGCUAAUUCGCACUAAUUGUAUAAUAUCUUACCCCAUCCCAU
Long non-coding RNA from Drosophila grimshawi, 1357 nucleotides. RefSeq lists it as uncharacterized. The record is from RefSeq and is a predicted model, not a curated record. NCBI's taxonomy places the organism in Eukaryota, Metazoa, Arthropoda, Insecta, Diptera, Drosophilidae. The transcript is spliced from 3 exons.